Molecule: transfer RNA, 72 nt
Filed under: Camelus bactrianus (Bactrian camel)
Lineage: Eukaryota; Metazoa; Chordata; Mammalia; Artiodactyla; Camelidae
Also listed under: 1 other name
Rfam family: tRNA
About the family: Transfer RNA (tRNA) molecules are approximately 80 nucleotides in length.
Source: Rfam by way of RNAcentral
GUGCGUAUAGCUCAGUGGUAGAGCGCGUGCUCAGCAUGUACAAGGCCCUGGGUUCAACUCCCAGUACCUCCA